CGCUUCUGUUCCGGUAUAUAGCGGAUCGGGUUCGCCAUGACACCUCGAACGAGGACCCAGGUUCGGAUCCCAGCAUGCACAUCAGGAGGCUCCCAACCAUAUGUGACUCCAGAUUCAAGGGAUCCAUCGCUCUCAGCUAGCUUCUACAGGCACCUGCAGUUCAUGAUGCACAUAAACUCACACAGACAGUUUCUCCGUGCUGCCCUGGCUGUCAUGGAACUCACACUGGAGACCAGGCUAUGUUGCCUUGGGUGUCCUGGAACUCACACUGGAGACCAGGCUGUCCUCGAACUCAGAGAUCCAUCUGCCUCUGUCCCACAAGUGCUCGGAUUAAAGGUAUGUGCCACCACCACAGCACAAAUAAUUUGUUUUGAAAUAAAUUGUUUUAUUAUCUGUGUUUGAUUUGUAUAUCUGCUUUAUACUCCCCAAAGCCUAAGGCCAUGUGAAGAUAUCUUGGCAGGAAAGAAGUCAUAAGUAGAAAGUUUUAGAAGCCUUGAUCUGAUGGAUUAGUUUAUAUUCCAUAUCCAUGAUACUUUCCUGUCCCAUGGGAAACUGCAGACGAAGGCAAGUCUCUGCUGGGAAUCGGGAAUGAGGGAGGUAGCACUUUAUGUACAAUCCCACGGUCCAGACUGGACUGUGUUUACCUGGGAGAUGCUGAUCCAACAA
Grammomys surdaster is the source of this 666-nucleotide long non-coding RNA. RefSeq lists it as uncharacterized. Lineage: Eukaryota; Metazoa; Chordata; Mammalia; Rodentia; Muridae. The record is from RefSeq and is a predicted model, not a curated record. The transcript is spliced from 3 exons.